RNAcentral lists this long non-coding RNA (1959 nucleotides) under Homo sapiens (human). RNAcentral's name for it is "HSALNT0091098". Lineage: Eukaryota; Metazoa; Chordata; Mammalia; Primates; Hominidae. The record is from RNAcentral.
CUUCUCUCUGCCCGUCUCUGCUUCCCCCCCCUUCCCCCCCCCCUUUUCUCCCGGCCGACGGAGCUGAAGGGGCGGGGGUUCCUUCCUUGGAGUGUUUCUAGAGCUCGGAGGCUGCUGGUAGGGGGAAGUUGUACCCGUCAGCACCUGCUGAGGGCUUUGUUGUCCAAACCCUGACAGGUAAAAAAAUUCCUGCAGAAUAAAGCCAGACCAGCUGGCUUUGAAGAGAAACCCCCCAGUUUGGGCUGCGUUUGCCUCCUCUCCUUUUCUAUGAAGACCGAGGCUUUGCCCCCUUGAUCGUCAAGCCGUGAGAUGCGUGAUCUCUCUGCACAAGUGUCUGGCAGGCCGAGGUGCACCUGUUUCUGUCACUCUGGAGUAAAUUUAGCUGUAAAGGUAUCACUGACAACCAGACCUUUGUCAGUGCUGGCAAAAGAACACAGAAUUGCUUCCCUCCCCUCCCCCCUCCCGACCCCCUAUGCUGCUAGUUCCAAUGGAAAAUAUCCAAUCGGAAGUCUAUCCAAAAAUCAUUCCUAAAAAAUGAAAUUGCUUUCAUAUGGUAUAAAAAAGUAAGUUUCCUCAUUUCAAGCAGAUUUUAAAAUUACAUUUCCAAGAAUAAUCUUGGAACAAGACAAGUUUUCGUUCAAUUAAUUGUGGCUGGAAACUUUUUAAUGGAAACAUAGCACAUACUUACUUCAUUUCAGGUUAUUAAAUUGUGUUAAGCAUAAAAGUUAUUUGCCAUUCUUUGUUGCAGCUCAUUUGUUCUUUUCGAUUCUAAGAAAUAUUAGAAGGUUAAAUAACUUAUCACAUAGGAGAGAUUAUUCAUACUACCAAAAUUAGAAUGUGUGUAGUUCUGAGGGACUGAAUGUCAAAAUUGUAUGCUCAUAGCACUAAAACUAUUGGGAAUCUAGGAUGCCACUGGAACAUGUAAAAUGGCAGCUAAGGUCUAUGGAAACCCUUCAUGUUUAGAAACUGGCUAAAGCUUGAGUUCUCUUAUCUUUUGGUUAAGGUAAGGACGUUUAUCAUUUAUGUGAAUGUUUUAGACUAAUUUCUUUAUUAGUGGUUUGAGCAAUAUUCCUUUUGAGGAAAAUAGAGAGGCAGGCAAUAUUCAUUAAUAUGUCUGACAUAAAUAAAAUAGUCAAGAUAUAUAAAGCAGCCCAAGGAGUAACAUCCUUAGGCACCACUUUCAGAUAAAAACAUAGACCUGAAUGGCAUCAUCCAGUAUCCAAGGAAACCAUGCUUGCUUGAAGAGUGAGCAGGUGAGCAAAGAGACAAGAUUACAUGUUUAAACCAAGAAAAGAAUCUUGAAAGUUCUCUAAACAUGAAUAUGCCUUUGGGGGAAGACAGAAGAACAUGGAAGCCAUGUGAAAAAAACGGAUCCUAAGGCAGUUUUGAACAUCUGGAGGCCUGAUUUAUUGGAGAUUGCAAAUGUACAGUGUAACAUAGCUGUGGAGAGCGAGAAGAUCAGGAUUGUCAAUGCUGUCAUUGCUUUUACUGGAAUCCCCAGCACGAAUUGAAGGUCUCACUUUGCCACCUAGGCUGGAUGCAAUGCAACGGUAUGUUGAUCUUGGUUCACUGCAGCCUCAACCUCCUGAGCUCAUGUGAUCCUCCCACCUCAGUCCCCCACGUCGCUUGGAUUACAGGCCUGUGCCACCACACCUGGCUAACUUUUUUUGUAAUUUUUGUAGAGACAGGGUCUCACUAUGUUUCCCAUGCUGGUCUUUAAUGCCUGAGCUCAAGCCAUCCGCCUGCCUCGGCCUCCCAAAUUGCUGGGAUUACAGGCAUGAGCCACCAUGCCCAGCCUAAUUCUUCUAAAUCUUAUCCUAGUAAUUAAGCCAGAAUUUUUCUCUGCCAAGACCAAUAGAUGGACCAAGAAGUACUCAUCCUUGUAAACUUUCUUUGGAUAAAUUGCUUACAUAUAAUAAAUUCAGAGUUAAGUAAUAAAAAUAAUGAACUACUGUCUUG